UAACCUGCCCAAGAGAUCGGGAUAACACCUGGAAACAGAUGCUAAUACCGGAUAACAACAGAUGAUGCCUAUCAACUGUUUAAAAGAUGGUUCUGCUAUCACUCUUGGAUGGACCUGCCGUGCAUUAGCUAGUUGGUAGGGUAACGGCCUACCAAGGCGAUGAUGCAUAGCCGAGUUGAGAGACUGAUCGGCCACAUUGGGACUGAGACACGGCCCAAACUCCUACGGAGGCAGCAG
RNAcentral lists this ribosomal RNA (237 nucleotides) under uncultured Lactobacillus sp. RNAcentral describes it as "partial 16S ribosomal RNA". It matches the Rfam family "Bacterial small subunit ribosomal RNA", at positions 122 to 354 of the family's 1533-position model. Lineage: Bacteria; Bacillati; Bacillota; Bacilli; Lactobacillales; Lactobacillaceae. The record is from RNAcentral.